AAAAUUUAUUUGUUUCAUUUGAAUUCUUUCAGUAUUAAGAUUGCAUCAUCUUGACUAAACCUGGAUUAAAUGAAGAACAAACUCAAGAUCAAAUCAGAAGAAAACCUCUAAUGUUUGUUUUUGUUGGGUUACAUUUAUCUUGUCAGAACUCUAAGCAGAUUUUAACAAAUAAAAAUAUUUAGUUUAAACUGUUCCACUUUUUAAUCUAAUUUAGUACAAAACGUUUAGGAUUUUUUUAAAAUAAAAUAAUGCAUUUGAACGCUCUUUGAACAUUUUUGAAAACUUUCCCUUAUACCUGAAACUGCAGGAGUUAAAUCCUUUUCUUAACUAAAGAUCAUGAUUGUUUGGCUGAAAUCAUGCAUCUUUAAGGAAAAAAGGUUUAGAUGAAUGGAGAAUCGGUUAAGUUUCAAACUUAAAAAACUUCUAUGAUCACUUGUGAAGGGAGUGCAGUUUUAAAUCCGGUUCAGGAUGAAUGAUACGGAUCGGACGUGGUGCGUUCAGGGACCCUGWGAGGUGAAACUUAAAUACAUGAACGACCUCUUGUGGAGGAGCGGGGCCAUCUCUUCGGCCACACAGCAAAACUUCAGCUGAAGUCUCCCUCCGAGCUGGUUAUCAAGAAACGAUCAGCACUUUGGAGUGGCUCCUUCCGUUUGCAUGUGUCUCCUUUUACAAACGUGCCCCCACCACCCAACCCCACCCACCCCGCACCGAAACCUGGACCAGGACAUGGGCGCAGCUCACACCUUCUAAUGGAGCACCGAAAGCCAACAUUUAGCGCCUUUUUUAGCAGGAACCCGUGAGGGAUCAGUCUGGUCUGGUCUGGUCUGGUCUGAAAUGCAAAUGAAGAUGCAGUUUACGCACGGUCUGCUGUUCCCAUUGUGCACCGUGAAUGGCUGCGUCCUCCCAGUUCAGCGCAGAUACGCAGCGCUGCAUGAAGUCACUGAUGCAUCCAGUGUGGAUAUGAGACGGGACAAACCUUAAGAAGUG
Long non-coding RNA from Austrofundulus limnaeus, 987 nucleotides. RefSeq lists it as uncharacterized. The record is from RefSeq and is a predicted model, not a curated record. NCBI's taxonomy places the organism in Eukaryota, Metazoa, Chordata, Actinopteri, Cyprinodontiformes, Rivulidae. The transcript is spliced from 3 exons.